AGAGUUUGAUCCUGGCUCAGGACGAACGCUGGCGGCGUGCUUAACACAUGCAAGUCGAGCGAUGAGAUCCCUUCGGGGAUCGAUUAGCGGCGAACGGGUGAGGAACACGUGAAGAAUCUGCCUUCAACUCUGGGAUAACUCCGGGAAACCGGGGCUAAUACCGGAUACGAGACCUGCAGGCAUCUGCGGGUCUGGAAAGUUUUUCGGUUGAAGAUGACCUCGCGGCCUAUCAGCUUGUUGGUGAGGUAAUGGCUCACCAAGGCGACGACGGGUAGCCGGCCUGAGAGGGCGACCGGCCACACUGGGACUGAGACACGGCCCAGACUCCUACGGGAGGCAGCAGUGGGGAAUAUUGGGCAAUGGAGGGAACUCUGACCCAGCGACGCCGCGUGCGGGAUGAAGGCCUUCGGGUUGUAAACCGCUUUCAGCAAGGAAGAAGCGAAAGUGACGGUACUUGCAGAAGAAGCACCGGCUAACUAUGUGCCAGCAGCCGCGGUAAUACAUAGGGUGCAAGCGUUGUCCGGAAUUAUUGGGCGUAAAGAGCUCGUAGGUGGUUCGUCACGUCGGAUGUGAAAAUCUGGGGCUUAACCCCAGACCUGCAUUCGAUACGGGCGAGCUAGAGUGUGGUAGGGGAGACUGGAAUUCCUGGUGUAGCGGUGGAAUGCGCAGAUAUCAGGAGGAACACCAAUGGCGAAGGCAGGUCUCUGGGCCAUUACUGACACUGAGGAGCGAAAGCGUGGGGAGCGAACAGGAUUAGAUACCCUGGUAGUCCACGCCGUAAACGGUGGGCACUAGUUGUGGGAACCUUCCACGGUUUCUGCGACGCAGCUAACGCAUUAAGUGCCCCGCCUGGGGAGUACGAUCGCAAGAUUAAAACUCAAAGGAAUUGACGGGGCCCCGCACAAGCAGCGGAGCAUGCGGCUUAAUU
RNAcentral lists this ribosomal RNA (928 nucleotides) under uncultured bacterium. RNAcentral describes it as "bacterial SSU rRNA". It matches the Rfam family "Bacterial small subunit ribosomal RNA", at positions 8 to 951 of the family's 1533-position model. The record is from RNAcentral.